AAUGAACGCUGGUGGCAGACCUAACACAUGCAAGUCGAACGGUCUAUAUUAAACUUCGGUUUUUUAUAGAUAGUGGCAAACGGGUGAGUAAUGCGUGGGAAUCUGCCCUAUAGUACGGAAUAGCCGUUGGAAACGACGAUUAAUACCGUAUAUCUUCCGAGGAAGAAAGACUUGUCGCUAUAGGAUGAGCCCACGUUAGAUUAGUUUGUGGUAGGGUAACGGCCUACCAAGACUGCGAUCUAUAGCUGGUUUGAGAGGAUGAUCAGCCACACUGGAACUGAGAUACGGUCCAGACUUCUACGGAAGGCAGCAGUGAGGAAUAUUGGACAAUGGGCGAAAGCCUGAUCCAGCAAUACCGCGUGAGUGAUGAAGGCUUUAGGGUUGUAAAACUCUUUCAGUAGGGAUAAUAAUGAUGUUACCUACAGAAGAAGCACCGGCUAACUCCGUGCCAGCAGCCGCGGUAAU
This 465-nucleotide ribosomal RNA is filed under the name uncultured bacterium. RNAcentral's name for it is "bacterial SSU rRNA". It matches the Rfam family "Bacterial small subunit ribosomal RNA", at positions 29 to 524 of the family's 1533-position model. The record is from RNAcentral.